Molecule: transfer RNA, 72 nt
Filed under: Eutreptiella gymnastica
Lineage: Eukaryota; Euglenozoa; Euglenophyceae; Eutreptiales; Eutreptiaceae
Description: tRNA-His
Rfam family: tRNA
About the family: Transfer RNA (tRNA) molecules are approximately 80 nucleotides in length. Their secondary structure includes four short double-helical elements and three loops (D, anti-codon, and T loops).
Source: RNAcentral
GCGGGCGUCGCCAAGUGGUAAGGCAAAGGACUGUGACUCCUUCAUUCGCGGGUUCAAGUCCCGUCGUUCGCC